UCCCUGGUGGCUCAGAGUUUAAAGUGUCCGCCUGCAAUGCGGGAGACCUGGGUUCAAUCCCUGGGUCGGGAA
Ovis aries (sheep) is the source of this 72-nucleotide transfer RNA. It matches the Rfam family "tRNA". From Rfam's summary of the family: Transfer RNA (tRNA) molecules are approximately 80 nucleotides in length. Their secondary structure includes four short double-helical elements and three loops (D, anti-codon, and T loops). The record is from Rfam. Lineage: Eukaryota; Metazoa; Chordata; Mammalia; Artiodactyla; Bovidae.